Molecule: unclassified non-coding RNA, 365 nt
Filed under: uncultured bacterium
Lineage: Bacteria
Description: contains 16S-23S intergenic spacer region
Source: RNAcentral
UCCGAGUUAGACCCGGCAGUCUCGCUAGACAUAGUAACUAGCGACGAGGGUUGCGCUCGUUGCGGGACUUAACCCAACACCUCACGGCACGAGCUGACGACAGCCAUGCAGCACCUGUAUACGCUCCCUUGCGGGUCGGUCACCUUUCGGAUCCCUACCACGUAUAUGUCAAGCCCAGGUAAGGUUCUUCGCGUUGCAUCGAAUUAAACCACACGCUCCGCUGCUUGUGCGCGCCCCCGUCAAUUCCGUUUGAGUUUUAAUCUUGCGACCGUACUCCCCAGGCGGAGUGCUUAACGCGUUAGCUUUGGCACUGCAGGGGUCAAUACCCGCAACACCAAGCACCCAUCGUUUACAGCUAGGACUAC